Molecule: transfer RNA, 58 nt
Filed under: Leptogium corticola
Lineage: Eukaryota; Fungi; Ascomycota; Lecanoromycetes; Peltigerales; Collemataceae
Description: tRNA-Ser
Source: RNAcentral
AGACAAUUGACUGAGAGGAUUAAGGUGAUAAGCUUGAAACUUAUUUGAUGAAAAUCAC